RNAcentral lists this long non-coding RNA (211 nucleotides) under Carica papaya (papaya). RNAcentral describes it as "long non-coding RNA (CPAP_LNC015081)". Lineage: Eukaryota; Viridiplantae; Streptophyta; Magnoliopsida; Brassicales; Caricaceae. The record is from RNAcentral.
AUGAAGUUGAAGGACCCUAGAGAGGAAGAAGCUAAGGCGGAGGAACAAUCUGGAAAAAAGAAAAAUAUGAAGUUGAAGGACCCUGGAGAAGAAGAAGCUGAGGUGGAGGAAGAACAAUCACAAGGGAUAAUGGAUGAUGAUGUUCACUAAGUUUGUAAGCCUCCUCUUUUGAUUUUUUAGAGGUGGAGGAAGUUGAAAGUCACAUGCGGAU